GAUUAUGGCUCAGGAUGAACGCUGGCGGCGCGCUUAACACAUGCAAGUCGAACGGUUAAAGCCCCUCGGGGGUGCAUAAAGUGGCGAACGGCUGAGUAACACGUGGGCAACCUGCCCCCCGCAUCGGGAUAGCCUCGGGAAACCGUGGGUAAUGCCGGAUACUCCCUCCCUGCCGCAUGGCUGGGAGGGGAAACGCGUACACGGCGGGGGAUGGGCCCGCGGCCUGUUAGCUCGUUGGCGGGGUAACGGCCCACCAAGGCGAUUAUGGGUAGCCGGGUUGAGAGACCGACCGGCCAGAUUGGGACUGAGACACGGCCCAGACUCCUACGGGAGGCAGCAGUGGGGAAUCUUGCACAAUGGGCGAAAGCCUGAUGCAAGCGACGCCGCGUGCGGGAAGAAGGCCCUCGGGUUGUAAACCGCUUUCAGCAGGGACGAGGCGCAAGUGACGGUACCUGCAGAAGAAGCCCCGGCUAACUACGUGCCAGCCGCAGC
This 492-nucleotide ribosomal RNA is filed under the name uncultured bacterium. RNAcentral's name for it is "bacterial SSU rRNA". It matches the Rfam family "Bacterial small subunit ribosomal RNA", at positions 15 to 518 of the family's 1533-position model. The record is from RNAcentral.